AUCACCAUGGGAUCCUAUUAAAUGCAGGUUCUGAUGCAGUAGGUCUGAAGUGGGGCUGAGAUUCUGCAUUUCUAACAAGUGCCCAGGGAUGCC
This 93-nucleotide microRNA precursor is filed under the name Choloepus hoffmanni (Hoffmann's two-fingered sloth). Its description in RNAcentral is "miRNA (ENSCHOG00000016051.1)". Lineage: Eukaryota; Metazoa; Chordata; Mammalia; Pilosa; Megalonychidae. The record is from RNAcentral.